Molecule: non-coding RNA, 323 nt
Organism: Vicia faba (fava bean)
Lineage: Eukaryota; Viridiplantae; Streptophyta; Magnoliopsida; Fabales; Fabaceae
Source: the annotation of a GenBank genome assembly
UCACAUUUUGGAAGUACAAAGAUUAAGGCAAUUUCAAGUAACUUUGCUCCAUAUCAAGACCAAUAUGUAGUGGAAGAUGUGAAAAAGGUUGGAGAUAAUGCAGUGAUGUGUCAUAGAUUGAAUUUUGAAAAGGUAGUAUUCAAUUGCCACCAAGUGCGUGAUACAACCGCUUAUGUGGUCUCAUUGGUAGCCUCAGAUGGAACUAAAACUAAGGCUUUAAUAGUCUGCCACCAUGACACUAGAGGUAUGAAUCCUGAGUUGCUUUAUGAAGCACUCGAAGUUACUCCUGGAACUGUCCCUGUAUGUCAUUUCAUUGGCAAUAA